UACUAUUUCGAAUGUAAGCAACACCAUC
This 28-nucleotide non-coding RNA is filed under the name Bombyx mori (domestic silkworm). Lineage: Eukaryota; Metazoa; Arthropoda; Insecta; Lepidoptera; Bombycidae. The record is from RNAcentral.